UCGCAAUGAUUAUAAUAUUAUCCGCGCUUCUGAGAUCACUCAGUGAAGUACAUGGAUUACAAUGGUUGAAUUUCUUAAUAUGAGCUA
This 87-nucleotide small nucleolar RNA is filed under the name Zostera marina. Lineage: Eukaryota; Viridiplantae; Streptophyta; Magnoliopsida; Alismatales; Zosteraceae. The record is from RNAcentral.